RNAcentral lists this ribosomal RNA (305 nucleotides) under uncultured bacterium. RNAcentral's name for it is "bacterial SSU rRNA". It matches the Rfam family "Bacterial small subunit ribosomal RNA", at positions 335 to 637 of the family's 1533-position model. The record is from RNAcentral.
AGUCCUACGGGAGGCAGCAGUGAGGAAUAUUGGUCAAUGGCCGGAAGGCUGAACCAGCCAAGCCGCGUGAAGGACGAAGGUGCCAAGCAUUGUAAACUUCUUUUGUCAAGGGACAAAAUCAGGCUCGAGAGCCUGACCGAGGGUACUUGAAGAAAAAGCAUCGGCUAACUCCGUGCCAGCAGCCGCGGUAAUACGGAGGAUGCGAGCGUUAUCCGGAAUUACUGGGUGUAAAGGGAGCGUAGACGGUGAUGCAAGUCUGGAGUGAAAGGCGGGGGCCCAACCCCCGGACUGCUCUGGAAACUGUG